ACUCAAAGGAAUUGACGGGGACCCGCACAAGCGGUGGAGCGUGUGGUUUAAUUCGACGCUAAGCGAAGAACCUUACCAGGGCUUGACAUCCCGGGAGUCUCUUGGAAACGAGAGAGUGCCGCAAGGAGCCCGGUGACAGGUGCUGCAUGGCCGUCGUCAGCUCGUGUCGUGAGAUGUUGGGUUAAGUCCCGCAACGAGCGCAACCCCUGUCGUAUGUUGUAUUUCUCAUACGAGACUGCCUCGGUUAACGAGGAGGAAGGUGGGGUCGAAGUCAGGUCAGCAUGGCCCUUAUGCCCUGGGCGACACACGCGCUACAAUGGCCGGUACAAUGGGUUGCGAAACCGCGAGGUGAAGCUAAUCCCACCAAAGCCGGUCCCAGUUCGGAUUGGAGGCUGCAACUCGCCUCCAUGAAGCCGGAAUCGCUAGUAAACGCGGAUCAGCCACGCCGCGUUGAAUACGUUCUCGGGUCUUGCACACACCGCCCGU
RNAcentral lists this ribosomal RNA (486 nucleotides) under uncultured bacterium. RNAcentral's name for it is "partial 16S ribosomal RNA". It matches the Rfam family "Bacterial small subunit ribosomal RNA", at positions 899 to 1397 of the family's 1533-position model. The record is from RNAcentral.